AUGAACGUUGGCGGCGUGGAUUAGGCAUGCAAGUCGAGCGAGAAGUUUACUUCGGUAAAUGGACAGCGGCGAAAGGGACAGUAAUGUGUAGGUACCUACCCCCCGAUCUGGGAUAGCUGCGGGAAACUGCAGGUAAUACCGGAUAAUGUCUUCGGACCAAAGGUGUGAUUCCGUCAGGGGAGGGGCCUGCAUCCUAUUAGCUUGUUGGUGAGGUAAUGGCUCACCAAGGCAACGAUGGGUAGCGGGUGUGAGAGCAUGACCCGCGUCAUUGGGACUGAGACACUGCCCAGACAUCUACGGAUGGCUGCAGUCGAGAAUCUUCGGCAAUGGGCGAAAGCCUGACCGAGCGACGCCGCGUGCGGGAUGAAGGCCCUCGGGUUGUAAACCGCUGUCGUUGGGGAGGAAAUGCAAAAGGGUUAUCCCUUCUGUUUGACCGAUCCAAGGAGGAAGUACGGGCUAA
This 460-nucleotide ribosomal RNA is filed under the name uncultured Planctomycetales bacterium. RNAcentral describes it as "bacterial SSU rRNA". It matches the Rfam family "Bacterial small subunit ribosomal RNA", at positions 29 to 500 of the family's 1533-position model. The record is from RNAcentral. Lineage: Bacteria; Pseudomonadati; Planctomycetota; Planctomycetia; Planctomycetales.